Molecule: long non-coding RNA, 709 nt
Filed under: Vulpes vulpes (red fox)
Lineage: Eukaryota; Metazoa; Chordata; Mammalia; Carnivora; Canidae
Description: lncRNA (ENSVVUG00000001104.1)
Source: RNAcentral
AAUGCUACACUGGCUCCCCACUCCUGUCAGCCCAUACUUUGCUCAUUUCUGGCUCUGCUUGAUUUUAUCUUUUUCUACAGAUGGACUUCCACUCAUGAUGGAAAAGAUGGCCACCUGUCCCACCCUCUCACUCACCCACAUACCUUCAAAUGCCUGUGGCAUCUGACUCCAGAGGCAACAUAGUUUCUUCUUAGGCUGCCAAUCAAGCUAUCCCAGGGAAGGACUGCCAGGACCCGAGAAAGAUGUUGGGAAAUCUUGCAGGGCAGACAAAUAACAAUGCUGUUUCCUGCUACCAGUUGAACCAACAUGGCUCUCUGAGACAGCCUGAGACAAGAGUUUGUCCUAGAUCCUGCUCUCCUAGCCCAGUUCCAUCAAGAUCUGCCUCCAGCUAUGCCUUCCCAUUUCCUGCCAGUACCUAUUAGCCAGAUCUUGUGGCAACAAAAGGAAGCAGGAGGAGAUCCAGAGGAGAACAUUCAUCUGUGAGGCAAGAGCCUCAAGUAAGGCCUCUGAAGAGUCUCCAGGAGAGAAGAGGCUCCCCUCCUCCAACAUGGAAUUUUGGGCUACUUCCACCAACCUGGAGACCUCAAGGGAAUCAGGGGGCCAAAUUUCUCUAGUUCAUCCAAACCGGUGUUCCCUUUCCAUUUUCCAGGGGCUCUGACUCUGGCAUUUACUCUCUGUUGUGGCUCUGUAUCCUUAUAAUUAAAUCCCU